UGUCUAGAUGUGCAUUUCAAAGU
RNAcentral lists this microRNA (23 nucleotides) under Solanum tuberosum (potato). Its description in RNAcentral is "stu-miR7992-3p". Lineage: Eukaryota; Viridiplantae; Streptophyta; Magnoliopsida; Solanales; Solanaceae. The record is from miRBase by way of RNAcentral.